UCAAUAUUCAUAUAAGUUUUUGAUAGUCGCAAAACUAAAAUAGACGUUAGGCGCGACUUUCUCCCUCCCGCCUUCUUUCAACGGUGCCCACAAUUCAACAAUGGCAACAACAACACUGCGUCUUCGACUAUGGACCUCCAAGCUAAAUUCCCUCUUCCCGCAACCAAAGCUCACCAUUUUACCCUUCAGAAAAACCCUGUACAAGCCGUUUUCUUCUCGUUCUCUCUCCUCCACCGCCCACCUUCCGAAGAGCGUAGGAACACACAACGGCAGCUUUCACUGCGACGAAGCUCUCGGCUGCUUUCUCCUUCGUCACACCUCCAAAUUCGCCGAUUCUCAGCUUAUUCGAACUCGAGACCUUCAGGUGUUGGAGUCGCUGGAUGCUGUUAUAGAUGUUGGAGGAUUUUAUGAUCCGUGCCGAGAUCGAUAUGAUCAUCAUCAGAAGGGUUUUGAUGAGGUUUUUGGUCAUGGGUUUGGGACUAAACUUAGUAGUGCUGGGCUUGUAUACAAGCAUUAUGGAAAAGAGAUAAUUGCUAAGGAGCUUCAGCUUGAUCAGGAGCAUCCAGAUGUGCAUAAGUUGUUUCUAGCUGUCUACAAGAAUUUUGUCGAGGCGGUUGAUGCUGUAGACAAUGGGGUCAAUCAAUACAGUGCAGACCUAUCACCAAAAUAUGUCAUUAACACAUACUUGUCAUCUAGAGUUGGAAGAUUGAAUCUUGGCUGGACAGAUCCUGAUCAGUCAGCUGAGCGUGAAAAUGAGGCCUUCCAGAAGGCAAUGGCAUUGGCUGGGAAUGAGUUUUUGGAGAGCAUUCAUUUUCAUGCACAAUCAUGGCUACCGGCUAGAUCAAUUGUAGUAGAGUGUCUUCAAGCAAGGCAAGAUAUCGACUCCAGUGGUGAAAUCAUGGUGCUGAAGAAGUCUUGCCCUUGGAAACUUCACAUCUUUGAGCUUGAGGAGGAAAUGAAGGUUGAACCUUCUAUCAAAUACGUUAUCUAUGAGGAUGAUAGACGAACUUCUUGGCGAGUGCAGGCAGUGGCUGUUGGACCAGAUAGAUUUGAAAGCCGAAAACCCUUGCCACAACAUUGGAGGGGUUUGGAGGGAAAAGAGCUAUCAGAGAUAGCAGGGAUCCCUGGCUGUGUAUUUGCACACAUGAGUGGUUUUAUUGGUGGAAAUCAGACUUAUCAGGGUGCUCUUAAAAUGGCAAGAGCUUCCUUGAAAGUAUAAAAGAGGGGGUAACUACUGCAAUACUAUACAUAUUUGUUAUGUUUCCUAUAUUGGGAAGAGAUAAUGCAACUUAGAGCUUAAGGAUGUCCAGAGGUAUGCAGUCAGUUUCUGUAUGCACGAUUACUUCAUCCUAAGUUUCCUGUGGAUUCCAUCAAUCAGCAGAGUUUAUAUUUCAAUUCUACAACGAAUGUGAGACAGAUGGAAGCCGUUCCACUUUCCAGCCUUCAAGAUUGGUUCUGGAUUCUGAAAUGCAUAUUGGUCAAAGUAUACACUGUUUGGAAGAGUGUUUAAUCUGAGAUAUCCAGAGGAAGGUGAAAAGAAAGCCGUAAGGAAAGUGGCAUACCCUAUUCUGUAGCAGAGCUUCACGCUUUACCUUCCACUCUUCUUCAGCUAAUCUCUCCAACAAUAGAAAGUCAUCAGAAAGUCAGAACAAGGCAUUGAUACAAGAUCAUAUAAAAUCCCUGCAAUCAAGUAAGUCCUUAACUCCUUACGGCCCCUUUGGUAGCCGGCCAUAAAUGGUGUAAAUGGGAAUGAAUUUGUAUGUAAAUUUGUAUGGAAAAUUAAUAUUCAUUCCCAUGGUAAUGGUAGUUCACUCAAAAUCAUAUCCUUUUUUUAUAUAAAUUUCCAUUACCAUCCGUUAUCAUUUGGGGAGUAGUAAUGGAUGGUAAUGCAAAUUUAUGAAGAAAAACACCGAGUAUGAGAUACAAUUCAUUACCAUGGACACCAUGAUGUUUUUUUCAACACUUUGAUUUAUUCCCAUUCCCACCGUUUAUUACCGGCUACCAAACGGGACGCUAAUCCCCGAAUUUAUCAUUAUGAAGAACAUAGACCCAAAAUACCUGGAGAUUUAGCUUGUUUAGUUGCUGCAUUUCGGAUGCUUAAUCCCACUGGUGAGCCGCGAUAGUGUAAACUACCUGCAGGAGUUCUUCCUAAGCUGACCAUCAGAGAAGAUGACUGACUAGAUUUUGAGGAGUAAAUAUGGGUUGAUUCAUGAAAUUUUUGGUACAAUGACGACGAAAUUGACUGGUGUUGAGUAAUUGAAGUGAAAGUGGCCAUUUUGUUUAAAUCCAAUGCUUCAAAUUUAGAACACUAUGGU
RNA transcript from Spinacia oleracea (spinach), 2315 nucleotides. RefSeq lists it as uncharacterized. The transcript is spliced from 8 exons. Lineage: Eukaryota; Viridiplantae; Streptophyta; Magnoliopsida; Caryophyllales; Amaranthaceae. The record is from RefSeq and is a predicted model, not a curated record.